Molecule: long non-coding RNA, 4683 nt
Organism: Manis javanica (Malayan pangolin)
Lineage: Eukaryota; Metazoa; Chordata; Mammalia; Pholidota; Manidae
Source: RefSeq, a predicted model, not a curated record
ACUGCGCACAAUAGCGCGCCGGCUCCUCUAUCUAUUUUGUGUCCAGCCGGGAGCCGCGCACCAUGAUUCAUGGCCCCAAUUAGGGGCUCUCUCCAGCGCGCCCGGCUCGAGCCGUCUGAAGGUUCUCCUCGGGGACCCGCGGAGGCCCAUCAGCGGCCACAGCUGCUCUUUAAGUAAAGGUCAAGCAGGACGCGGGAGGAGCCAGAUGCCUUUCCAGGUUUAUGCCCUUGGCUGCAGUGUCUUCCCCAAGAAGCUUCCCUGUGCUCUCCAUCUCAGGAGGGACCAGGUCUGUCUUCAUCUCUGUGUGUGUCCCAGAUCGGUGUCUAGGUCCCACAAACCGGGAUCCCGAUCCUGGCCCAGCCCUCUCUCGCCAGGAGAGCCUUGGGCAAACCUCUGACCUCCCUAAGCCUCCAUUUCCUGCUCCAUGCAAGGGGUAAGUGACAGUAUGUGUGUGUGGACCCUUCCUGGCUCUGUCUGUGGUUGAGAAGGUUCUGCUACUGCCUGUCUGCACUCUGAGGUGAGGGGGCUGCCACGCUGAGAUCACACACAGAGCCUGAGGAAGGAGGGCCACAGGGCUCAACAGGCCUAAAAGAGGGAGGUGGAGUUUUCUUGGCUAAACUGGAAUCAUCCAGGAGAACCUCCUGAGUGUGUGCCACAUGUGUGAAAGUGUGCAUGUGUGUGCAUGCAUCUGUGUAUGUGUGUACAUUCUCGUGCCUAUGUCUGCACGUGUUCACGCAUGUGCCUGUGUGUGUAUAAAGUGGGCUGGGAAUGGGAAGAAAGGUAUUUGGCUGGAUGUUUUUGUUUCCCUCACUGGCCCAGUGACUCAGGAAAGUCCCCUGGCACACAUCUUGGGAUCCAAGAAGCAGGUGAGCCUAGAUCAGAGGAGGAGGAAGGUAGGUAGGUAAUGGUGGCUGGUCGUCUGUGGGUAGAUGACAGAGGGGUGGAGCUGCUGGCACAGCUCAACACACCAUACUGAUAUUGCAGCUCCACCAUUUACUAGCUGUGUGGCCUUGGCCUGCUACUUAACCUCUCUGAGCCUCGGUUUCCCCAUCUAUAAAACAGAGAUGACAAAUGAUGCACCCAUAGGCCUGGGAGGAGCGUGACUUAAGACAGUCCAGGUAAAACACACCCUGGACCUGAAAUUGACAGCUGUGUUUGCAGGUCGGUUGAAUGUCAGUCAUACACAGGGACCUGGCUUUUACAGAUGCAACUCACCAAAUCUUUGCAACAAGCCUGUGUGGGAGGCUCUGUUGUAUCCCCAGUUACCAGGUGAGGAGACUGAGGCCCAGAGCAGGGAGGUCAAGGCUCAAGGUCAUGCAGCUUGGUGGAGCUGGGACUGGAACCCAGGCAGUGUGUCUCACCCCCUGGCUUCGUUAGCCACCAAGAUUAGCAUUACCCUAAGAUGCCAGCUUGUUAAGGCAGGAAUGGCCAGCAGAGUCCAUCGUCCUGGGUGUCCCCAGUUUUACACCUCAGGAAACUGAGGACCUGCCAGGUUCAUGUCUGGACACAAAACAGGCUGAGUAUGUGCUGGAAGACAGGGAGAGAUGUCAGGGCUCAUUUGUGUUGGCUUCAUGUGGGAACCACAGUCCCCGGCCGCGGCAGAACCAUCUCCUCACUUGCCUCUGAGCCCCGUGGCCCUCCCUGCAGCUGGAGAGAGGGUGCCAGGCUUCCCCAGACCACAUGAAUCGCCACUCAGCUCGGCAUCUUCAUCCCGCGGACUCCAGUGUGGUGGCCUCGUAAAGCAACCACACAUGCUCACAGGCAGGCCCAGCAGAGGGAACAGCGAGAAAAUGCGCCCCCGACGGCCGGUGCCACAGUAGACCAGAAGGCCAUCAGCAUGGAACAUCUGGGCACAUCUCAGAUUUGCGGCUUCCUGUAGGGUUGUCUUGGCCCAGAAACCACAGGAAUCUGCCCUCAGCCUGCAGGGAGAGCUAGUUUCCAGGCUCUGAGCACUCGGCACACUUACUUUGUGUAUCUGUCUCUGGGCCUGCCUCUCCAUCGGAGCAGAACCUGGGGUGGCUUCCCCGGGUGGCUUUCCACGGUGUCACAAGGCCAGGGACGUAGUUGGGGCCCAAUCUGUGCUUGAACCUGGGAGCCAGACUAUCCAGAAAUCACACUGUGUCUUCCAAGUUCCAGGCUUGCCGGCUGCUCCCACCGGCUUCCACUGCUCAGCUGUGCUGACAUCCAGGAUCAGCCUCUUCCACGUGCCCCGGCCUCUCCCGCCCCCGGAACCGACUUCCCUUCCCCCUGAGGCCUUUGCCCUUCUCCCUCUGAACUGCGCGUGUGCCCCUGGCGGCCCUCCCAGGACCAUUUACCUUCUCAGGCUGCCAUCCUUCCUCUUUUAGAGGCUACGUGUGCUGUGUGUUUGGCCUCUGGCUCGCUGGGGACCAGAAAAACAAAAUUUAUCUUCUGACUGCCCUAUUUUUUUUCUAUCCCUUUUUUUUUUUCUUUUUUCUUUUUGGCCUAAGAAUGAAGCAAGCACUUCUCUGCCAUCCUCAGAAAGAGCUUCAAACACGGCAGGCCACCGACAAAAGUAUACCGUCCUUCUCAGAGGGACGGAAUGCAACCGUUAACAAUAAAAACAUCCCUGGGAUUUAUGGAGGCCUUGGGCCUGUGAGCCGUUUCACAGCCAUUUGCUUGGGUGACAGAGCAAUCCAGGAGGUGAGCAGAAAUCAUCAUCCCUGUUUGAGAAAUGGGGAAACUGAGGCCCAAAGGCACAGUUCCUGGGACCGGGAUGAGCUCCCAGCUGCUGGGGUUGGCAAAAUUUCCUUGCUUUUUACGUGUGUAAACUGGGUGAACUUGUUCCAAUUUGUAAAAUCUGUAAAGAUACAUGGCAUAUUUGGUGACCGUGUCAUAGGUCCAUUCUUUGUCAAAUAUAGAAGGCUUCAGAGAGUGGGGGUGGGAGAGCCACUUUCCAUGUGUGGGGCCUGAGCCAACCUAUGCAGAAGCAUCUUGUAAGCUGCAAAGGGCUUUGUUUAAAAAAAAAUCACUGCUUGCAUUACACAAUUAAGGAUCAGAGCACAAGAUACAGAUUCAAAGCACAGAACCAGGUGUCCCCAAAACCUUGCCUGGCUCACUCGCGUUAGCCUGGAGAAAGCAUUCAGAAGCCCACUCUCCCCGCUCCACUCUGGGCAACACCAUUCCCACCUGCCUCGUCCAUCUGGAAACUGGAGGCUAUUGCCGUGAACUUCAGGGCCUCGUAAAAUCUCCUCCUGUGAUGAACUAUCUCCAGGAUGGACCUGCGCCGGGGGCUUUGGGGACAAGCACUCCACAUAAAUCUGGAGUGUAAGUAAAAACUCCCUUGCUGCUGCUGACUCCUCAACAGACCCCUGAUUUGCAGCACAAAACCCACAGCAAUCAUUUAUGUGGUCAGUUCCCAGGCUUCCAAACCCUGGAGGUUUCUGUGAAGGUUGGGCAUAGGUGGGGGGUGGGGGAUGGUGUGGAAAGAAAAGUAGCCGGUAGUGACUACAAACCCCCUUCAGGGGGCCGAGCAUGCAGUUGGUACUGACGCAGCAUGUAGUGAUAGCACCUAAGGUUUCCUGGGUGCUGAGUAUAUAUGCCAGGUGCUACGUCCUGAACUUAUAUCAUUAUCUAGUUCAGGUUUCUUGACAGCCUGGAAAAUAGGCACUAUUGUUCCCUGAUUUUAAGAGUGGGGACAAUGAGGCUCAGAACAGCGAAUGCACAUCCCCAACAUCACAGAGCUGGGAAGUGGCAGGGCUGGAUUCAAACCCAGGCGACCUGGCUGAGGUCCCUGCUCUGCUCCACCCUGCUGUGUGCCCAGCUCCUGGCCUGCCAGCCAGCCUCCCGAUCCUCUGAAAUAAAGGCAUCCUUGUCCCUGGCUGGAUACUGCCAGGGAGGCCAAUGGCCAGGGCUUGCUGGACGCCUUUAGGGCCUGCCUAUGGCUCCAUGGGCAGCCUACCCAGCCCAUGUCCCCUCACCCUCAGCGACCCCGGCUCACAGGCCCUGGAACACUGGGCGGGGGUGGAUGGUGGCAGGUCCUCAGUGCCGGCUAAUGGGGGCAGGGACUAGUUAGGCAGUAGCAACAGAUUCUUUCCAGCUGUUCCUCUGAGUCACUGGAGGAUUUUCCAAGCCCGACCGCCAGCCCACCUGCUCGCCUGCCCUAGUCUUAUUUCUGUGGUCAGUUGGUGCUGGACUCAGGAAGGGGUCAUAAAGGGGGACCAAAACGUGCAUCUGACACUAAACUGAGGGGUUGCAUUUUAAAACCUUUAAUUGAAGUGUAGCCUCUCUACGGAAAAGUGUGCAUCACCGUGUGGGCACAGCUUAUGGAAUGUUCACCGAUUGAGCACAUCUGUGUAACUAGUACCCAGAAGGCAGGUAUGUCCAGCCUCCCAGAAGCCCCCUUGUGCCCCUUCGAGACACUACUGCCCAGCAAGGGUAACAACAUACAGCCAGAGCUCCAGGUGUCCUGCCUUCUAACAUCAAACCAACUUCUUAGCAACUUUAUUGAGAUGUAAUUCGUAUACCAUGCAACCUACCAACUCAGUGAUCCGCACUUCUGUGGCUUGCAGUGUAUUGUUCAGCUGUCACCACAAUUUCAGAACAUUUCCAUCGCCCCCAAAAGAAACUCAGUACCCCUGAGCUGUCACGUCCCGGCCCCUCCCAGCCCUGGCCGCUCUUAAGCAGCUUUCUGUGUCUGUGGAUCUGCCCGUUCUGGGCGCUUCA